UUCGGAUCGUAAAGUUCUGUUGUUAGGGAAGAACGACUAGAGUAGGAAAUGGCUCUAGAGUGACGGUACCUAACCAGAAAGCUCCGGCUAACUACGUGCCAGCAGCCGCGGUAAUACGUAGGGAGCGAGCGUUAUCCGGAAUUAUUGGGCGUAAAGCGUGCGUAGGCGGUAUGUUAAGUCAAAUGUGAAAGCCCAGGGCUUAACCCUGGAGAGUCAUUUGAAACUGGCAUGCUUGAGUACGGCAGAGGUAAGUGGAAUACAAUGUGUAGCGGUGGAAUGCGUAGAUAUAUUGUGGAACACCAGUGGGGAAGGCGGCUUACUGGACCGGAACUGACGCUGAUGCACGAAAGCGUGGGGAGCAAACAGGAUUAGAUACCCUGGUAGUCCACGCUGUAAACGAUGAGAACUAAGUGUUGGGGUUACCCAGGGCUGAAGUUAACGCAUUAAGUUCUCCGCCUGGGGAGUACGGCCGCAGGGUUGAAACUCAAAAGAAUUGACGG
RNAcentral lists this ribosomal RNA (500 nucleotides) under uncultured bacterium. RNAcentral's name for it is "bacterial SSU rRNA". It matches the Rfam family "Bacterial small subunit ribosomal RNA", at positions 417 to 916 of the family's 1533-position model. The record is from RNAcentral.